Solanum pennellii is the source of this 1053-nucleotide long non-coding RNA. RefSeq lists it as uncharacterized. The record is from RefSeq and is a predicted model, not a curated record. The transcript has 2 exons. NCBI's taxonomy places the organism in Eukaryota, Viridiplantae, Streptophyta, Magnoliopsida, Solanales, Solanaceae.
AUGCAAUCACCCAGAUCUUGAUUUUCCCUUUUUUUUCAGAUUCUAUUUUAGUUGUAUGAUGGUUUUAAUUGGUUAUUUCAUACUGGUGAAUGUUCCUAAUAGAUCCCUUGUGUUUAAGAAAGAAUGAUGAGUUUGGAAUUCGGAAAUAAGAGUGUCAAUCAACGAUCUUGAUUCAAUUUUAUAUCAUUUACCCUCUUUAUUUUUUCAAGAAAAUGUGCAAAAAAAAUUGUAAUAAAGCAUAAAAAGAAUAAAGAUUGCGUAUAUAGGAAGCUAAGAUGAAUUCCUAAUUUACUCUUGCUUUUUUACUGUCGUAUUUUGGGAUAAGGGUUGUAUGUGAAAAGGUUGUCAUUUUCUAAUUGUCAGUAUUCUGUCUGGUUUUGAGAAAAAUGGAGUCUUGUGACAAAUUCAAGAAAAUGAAGCUGAUCUUGUCUUGAUGUUACAACAACUAAAUUACAGCUUCAGAUUCUUUUUCUUUUUGUUGGUGGUGGUGGUGGUGAAAUGAGUUACUAUGGUUUUGACAUGUGAAGACAGAUGCUCCAAUGAGGGGGGCUGAGAAGGUUGUCUGUGGUGAGCUUCAUGAGAGGUAGAGGUAGGUCGAAGAAGUAUUGGGGAAAGGUGAUUAGACAAGACAUGUCGCAUCUCCAGCUUCCUGAGGAGGCAGUUUAGGGUGGUAGGUUAGUGGGUAGUUGAGUGUCCAACGAGAUAGGCUUCUCCUUGUGUUUGCUAUAUCUCUACCAUUUCUGAGUUGCCAAGGGUAUGCAGUAUACUUUACUAUUUUGGGUAGAACUGCAUGCAAAUAUUGACCAAUUUGGAAUAUACCCUUAUAGCUCGUAAAUGGGAAAAUGAGAAAACUAUGUUUUAAAGGAGAUAGUUGUUAUGUUGAUCCAGCUGGCAGACCUCAAAUUUGUAGACAGUGGAGGAGAAAUUAAGGAAUGACAAAAAUAACUGAAAAGAGCUAAUCACGACCUUCUUUCUCAAUCAAUGGAACUUUGAGGAUUGGUCCAAUCAAUUUGCCCAAUAUGCUGACAAUGUCACCUAAGCACUCACCAAUGC